Molecule: ribosomal RNA, 269 nt
Filed under: uncultured prokaryote
Description: partial 16S ribosomal RNA
Rfam family: Bacterial small subunit ribosomal RNA
Source: RNAcentral
GACGGAGGGUGCUAGCGUUGUUCGGAAUUACUGGGCGUAAAGGGCGCGUAGGCGGCCGGAGAAGUCGGAUGUGAAAGCCCGGGGCUCAACCUCGGAACUGCAUUCGAAACUUUUCGGCUAGAGAACGGAAGAGGAGAGUGGAAUACCCAGUGUAGAGGUGAAAUUCGUAGAUAUUGGGUGGAACACCGGUGGCGAAAGCGGCUCUCUGGUCCGGAUCUGACGCUGAGGCGCGAAAGCGUGGGGAGCAAACAGGAUUAGAUACCCGCGUA